RNAcentral lists this unclassified non-coding RNA (364 nucleotides) under uncultured bacterium. Its description in RNAcentral is "contains 16S-23S intergenic spacer region". The record is from RNAcentral.
UCCCGAUUAGCUCGGGCAGUGUCGUAUGAAAAGUACAACAUACGACAGGGGUUGCGCUCGUUGCGGGACUUAACCCAACAUCUCACGACACGAGCUGACGACGGCCAUGCAACACCUGUCACUGGGCUCCCGAAGGCACUCCCCUGUUUCCAAGGGAUUCCCAGGAUGUCAAGCCUCGGUAAGGUUCUACGCGUAGCUUCGUAUUAAACCACAUCAUCCACCGCUUGUGCGGGCCCCCGCCAAUUCCUUUGAGUUUUAAACUUGCGUUCGUACUCCCCAGGCGGGAUGCUUAACGCGUUAGCUUCUCAACGCAGAGGGUCGAUACUCUACAUUAAUAGCAUCCAUCGUUUACGGCGUGGACUAC